CCGAGUUGUAAUUUGCAGAGGAUGCUUUGGGCGCGGUGCCUUCCGAGUUCCCUGGAACGGGACGCCUUAGAGGGUGAGAGCCCCGUACGGUUGGACACCAAGCCUCUGUAAAGCUCCUUCGACGAGUCGAGUAGUUUGGGAAUGCUGCUCUAAAUGGGAGGUAAAUUUCUUCUAAAGCUAAAUAUUGGCCAGAGACCGAUAGCGCACAAGUAGAGUGAUCGAAAGAUGAAAAGCACUUUGAAAAGAGGGUUAAAUAGCACGUGAAAUUGUUGAAAGGGAAGCGUUUGCGACCAGACCUUUUCCCAGCGGAUCAUCCGGUGUUCUCACCGGUGCACUUCGCUGGGUUGAGGCCAGCAUCGGUUUCCGCAGGGGGAUAA
RNAcentral lists this ribosomal RNA (377 nucleotides) under Sordariomycetes sp. 1921 RO-2014. Its description in RNAcentral is "LSU rRNA". It matches the Rfam family "Eukaryotic large subunit ribosomal RNA", at positions 138 to 522 of the family's 3401-position model. Lineage: Eukaryota; Fungi; Ascomycota; Sordariomycetes. RNAcentral also lists the same sequence under 2 other names. The record is from RNAcentral.